AUCAACUUUCGAUGGUAGGAUAGAGGCCUACCAUGGUGGUAACGGGUAACGGGGUGUUAGGGCACGACACCGGAGAGGGAGCCUGAGAAACGGCUACCACAUCCAAGGAUGGCAGCAGGCGCGCAGACUACCCAAUCCCGACACGGGGAGGUAGUGACAAUAAAUAACAAUACGGGGUCCUUUGGGUCUCGUAAUUGGAAUGAGUACAAUUUAAAUCUCUUAACGAGGAACAAUUGGAGGGCAAGUCUGGUGCCAGCAGCCGCGGUAAUUCCAGCUCCAAUAGCGUAUAUUAAAGUUGUUGCAGUUAAAAAGCUCGUAGUUGAAUUUCGGGAUUAGUAGGUUGGUCGUGCCUCUGGUAUGUACUCGCCUUACUGGUUCCUCCUUCUUGAAGAACUGUAAUGCCAUUAAUUUGGUGUUGCAGGGAAACAGGACUGUUACUUCGAGAAAAUUAGAGUGUUUAAAGCAGGCCAUUGCCUGAAUACAUUAGCAUGGAAUAAUGAAAUAGGACGUUGAUCCUAUUUUGUUGGUUUCUAGGAUUGACGUAAUGAUUAAUAGGGAUAGUUGGGGGCAUUAGUAUUCAAUUGUCAGAGGUGAAAUUCUUGGAUUUAUUGAAGACUAACUACUGCGAAAGCAUUUGCCAAGGAUGUUUUCAUUAAUCAAGAACGAAAGUUAGGGGAUCGAAGACGAUCAGAUACCGUCGUAGUCUUAACCAUAAACUAUGCCGACUAGGGAUCGGAUGAUGUUAAUUUUUUAAUGACUCAUUCGGCGCCUUACGGGAAACCAAAGUGUUUGGGUUC
RNAcentral lists this ribosomal RNA (797 nucleotides) under uncultured Glomeromycotina. RNAcentral's name for it is "SSU rRNA". It matches the Rfam family "Eukaryotic small subunit ribosomal RNA", at positions 314 to 1114 of the family's 1831-position model. The record is from RNAcentral. Lineage: Eukaryota; Fungi; Glomeromycota.